AUACGGAGGGUGCAAGCGUUACUCGGAAUCACUGGGCGUAAAGCGCGCGCAGGCGGCUAUUUAAGUUGGAUGUGAAAGCCUAUGGCUCAACCAUAGAACUGCAUCCAAAACUAUUUAGCUAGAGUGUGGGAGAGGAAGAUGGAAUUAGUUGUGUAGGGGUAAAAUCCGUAGAGAUAACUAGGAAUACCAAAAGCGAAGGCAAUCUUCUGGAACACUACUGACGCUGAGGCGCGAAAGCGUGGGGAGCAAACAGGAGUAGAUACCCUUGUAGUCC
RNAcentral lists this ribosomal RNA (274 nucleotides) under uncultured bacterium. Its description in RNAcentral is "partial 16S ribosomal RNA". It matches the Rfam family "Bacterial small subunit ribosomal RNA", at positions 523 to 796 of the family's 1533-position model. The record is from RNAcentral.